This 241-nucleotide ribosomal RNA is filed under the name uncultured Staphylococcus sp. RNAcentral describes it as "partial 16S ribosomal RNA". It matches the Rfam family "Bacterial small subunit ribosomal RNA", at positions 99 to 334 of the family's 1533-position model. The record is from RNAcentral. Lineage: Bacteria; Bacillati; Bacillota; Bacilli; Caryophanales; Staphylococcaceae.
CGGACGGGUGAGUAACACGUGGAUAACCUACCUAUAAGACUGGGAUAACUUCGGGGAACCGGAGCUAAUACCGGAUAAUAUAUUGAACCGCAUGGUUCAAUAGUGAAAGACGGUUUUGCUGUCACUUAUAGAUGGAUCCGCGCCGCAUUAGCUAGUUGGUAAGGUAACGGCUUACCAAGGCAACGAUGCGUAGCCGACCUGAGAGGGUGAUCGGCCACACUGGAACUGAGACACGGUCCAG